CACCAGCACGUCUUACAAUCCACAAGACAAUGCCCAGAUUUCUGUAGUGCAGAAGCAUAUUAACCUUUGUGUACUCUUGCCGGGUUUCGACAAAAGAUGUCUGUUAAGAACUGCAGGGCUCAUUGUAAUUGCUUGCCAUGUGGGUAAAUGAUCCGGAGCUGUGUGAAGAUAAGAAGAAAUUGCUAAAGGCAAAUCACCUGGGUUUUAUUAUGCUUGCCCUAAAAAUAAUUAGCAUGGCCUAUGAAAUCAUACUGUGAGGGGAUUUGUUUUAGCAGGAAACUGUAACCUAUAUAUUGUAGCUUGCUUUCUAGAGAGCUGAUCUUUGUAGUUGUGUUGAUGUGUCUUUUUCUUUAUUUUCUUUUUAACUACAGUGAGAGACAAAUGAAUGAGCUCGUAUUGCUCUGAAUAGCAACAAGGUGACUGGUUGCCAGCCUGUAAAAUCUGGUAUCGUCCCUGCUGGAGCCAAAGCUUGACCUUAAGAAAAUUCCUGCCAGUUUCUCCGAGGGAGCGUGUCCCUGUGCUGCUGCAGAAGCCUGUCUGCCACAGCCUGCCCCGGGUGUGGAUCAGUGCUGAACGAGGGGCUCUGCUGGGCUCCCUUCCCUGCUGGGCCAGUACCAGAGUCUGCAGCACGUCUGGGAACAAUCUGCAAACUCACUGACAGCAGGCUUGAGAACGGGUUAAGGAAAGGAAACUGAAUCCAUCAUCUCCUCUCCAAACCAAAGUCAAACCAUAUUGAUUUGGGCAUUGUUCAUUGUAUGUUUAAUUUGCAGUUGAACUGAAGCUAUUCUCAGCCUGCAGCAACCAGCAAGCAUGCUUGCCUCUUUUUUUAAGGAUACUUCUUCUCACUGGGGCUGUUUCCUAUGUAGUGAGCAUGAGAAUCUUUACCUGAGUUUUAAAAAAUCCAUUUAAUAUGGAAAGACACCCACUGCAGACAGCUUUUUCCUAGGAACCCUUCUGUAUUUGCUUUGUCCGGCCACUUUCUGAGUUUCCUUUUAAAGGUCAUGGAGAGCCAUAAAAUCCUUUUUCCCAUUAUUGCACAUCUUAAAACAAUAGAUUCCUUUCCCCAGUCAAUUGGACUGGGUUUAUUAGACGAAGAGGUGAAUUUCUGUAGCAAUUAGUCAUUACAACAUUAUUCACUCGAAAAAUAGAAAUAUACUCUAUAGUCUGGAUUGCAUUUAAAAUACAAAAAGCCUACUGAACAUGCAGAGGGGGGAAAAGCAAGCAGCAGCCUGUGAGGCAUGAACCCAGGCUGUUGUUUUACAUUUGACUUAUUCCAGGGUGACCUGAAGUAAUGCCUCUGCCUAGGUUUAGGGCAGGGGAACGUGCUGCCCUCUGCACGUCUUGUGGGGUAGCUGAGACUGCACCAAACACCUGAAAUGGCAUUUUAAGGUCAAAUCACCACCUUUCAGUCCUACAUAAUCAGGCCAGAAUCUCUCAAGGGGCCAGACUUCCCUGAAGGUCACUGAUGUGCAUGGGGAGGUAGCUCAGGAAGGAUCUUUGUAGUGAGAGCACCCCCUUUGCCCACGUGCUGCCCGAGGGAAGUUUCACAGACCCAUUAGGGACCAACAAACUGGAGUAAAACUUGAACUCAGUCUAGAUACAACUCCCUAGAUCGGGCUUAUCACUACAAUAAUAGCAAAAAAAUAAAAUAAAAUAAAACUCCUCUGAGCUUCUAACC
Molecule: long non-coding RNA, 1678 nt
Filed under: Anser brachyrhynchus (Pink-footed goose)
Lineage: Eukaryota; Metazoa; Chordata; Aves; Anseriformes; Anatidae
Description: lncRNA (ENSABRG00000000248.1)
Source: RNAcentral